Molecule: long non-coding RNA, 1056 nt
Organism: Sciurus carolinensis (gray squirrel)
Lineage: Eukaryota; Metazoa; Chordata; Mammalia; Rodentia; Sciuridae
Exons: 3
Source: RefSeq, a predicted model, not a curated record
GCGGAGCUGAGCCCUUAUCGGUGGUCGGAACGGUCACUGUGCUGUGUGCGUUUUGUCACAGUGAAAGACGCCAGGGCAGGGCUGGGGCCCAGUGGUAGGGCGCCCCACUAGCGUGCGGGAGGCUCUGGCUUCAACCUGCAGCAGCACAAACACAAAUGAAUAACUAAAGCCCGGAGAAUCCCACGCCAGCCGCUGGGCCUUUGACCAAGAGCCAUUAUGGAGAGAAAGGACAAGAGCAGCCUGCACCCAAGGGAGUGUCCCAGAGGUUGAAAAGACGCACCCUGCAGAGCAGGAAGUGAUCGGAGAGGAAGACGCAGGAGGAGCAGGAGGUAUCACCUGGACUGGACGGGUGACAAGCCAGUCCAGCCCUCGAGGUCCCAGGAAAAUGCGUGCCAGACGGAGGAGUUCCACAACAGGGCUGGCUGCUGGUCCGAGGUGACAGACAGGCUUCCCUGCCAGGGCCUCGCACCUCUCACGACCCCUGAAUCCAGGUGCAUCAGCACACGGACGGUGGAGCUGUCCUGUCUCAGCCAGGUGGUGCCCUUGGAGCCCUCCCCAUGCUCCUGGGACGCAGCUGGGCGAGUCCUCCAGCCAUCUCGGUGGAUAGCAGGUCUGCCCUCGGGUCCAGCCUGGGACCUCCCUGUGCAGCCAGGUUGAGGGCAGACUGCCCAAGAGCCUGGAGGUGGAGGCAACUUGCUGUGACCAGCCCAUGCAGAUGCAGAGAGCCCUCGUCCCACGUGAGCACCUGCUGCCACUGUGGCCACACACCGCAGCAGGGGAGGCCGGGGACACUGAAGUCCCUAGCCUCGCCUGCACCAGUCCACGUUCCUCAUCUUAACACUGGGGCCUCGGGGGCCACUUGGUACCAACUGCCAUCAUGACUCCCGCAGGGCUGGCCCGCCAUGUGACUGGGUGCCAGGCCUCCCCGCAGCUCACACCUCUGCACUGAGCCUGUCCUGCCUCCGACACGGACGUCUGACUGUCACCUCCACUGAGCUCCCGCCACCUCCCCACACAGACUGCCCAGGCCUCCUGUGGGCCUGAGCCUCCUGCCCC